AGAAUAUACACAGAUACAGGUGCCCAAUUUCAAAGGGAAAUUGGGUUAAAAGGGAAGCAGGUGAGAAUCCUGCACGGUCCCGCCACUGUGAUGGUGAGCUCUUUACAAAAAGCCACUGCCUGGCACUUCCUUUUAGGUAAGUGGAGUAAAAAAACAGACAAAGGAACCAUCACCUUGUCUUCUUGCCUUUUUGGUUUGAUUUGUAAAACAUUGGGAAAUAUUGGGUGCCGGGUGGGAAGGCGUAAAGAGCGAUGAACCUAAGUCAGGAGACCUGCCUGUAUUUGGAUUACACU
Molecule: non-coding RNA, 293 nt
Filed under: Thermoanaerobacter pseudethanolicus ATCC 33223
Lineage: Bacteria; Bacillati; Bacillota; Clostridia; Thermoanaerobacterales; Thermoanaerobacteraceae
Source: RNAcentral